RNAcentral lists this ribosomal RNA (494 nucleotides) under uncultured bacterium. Its description in RNAcentral is "partial 16S ribosomal RNA". It matches the Rfam family "Bacterial small subunit ribosomal RNA", at positions 28 to 507 of the family's 1533-position model. The record is from RNAcentral.
GACGAACGCUGGCGGCGUGCUUAACACAUGCAAGUCGAACGGUGAAGCGCCUUCCUUUUUGGUGGGUGUGGAUGAGUGGCGAACGGGUGAGUAACACGUGAGUAACCUGCCCCCUUCUGCUGGAUAACCGCAUGAAAGUGUGGCUAAUACGGGAUAUUCUGGGUCUGUCGCAUGAUGGGUCUGGGAAAGAUAUUGUUUCGGUGGGGGAUGGGCUCGCGGCCUAUCAGCUUGUUGGUGGGGUGAUGGCCUACCAAGGCGGGGACGGGUAGCCGGCCUGAGAGGGUGGACGGUCACACUGGGACUGAGACACGGCCCAGACUCCUACGGGAGGCAGCAGUGGGGAAUAGUGCACAAUGGGCGCAAGCCUGAUGCAGCGACGCCGCGUGAGGGAUGGAGGCCUUCGGGUUGUGAACCUCUUUCGCCAGUGACGCAGGCCUGCCUCGUUUGUGGGUGGGUUGACGGUAGCUGGAUAAGAAGCGCCGGCUAACUACGUG